ACAAAGCCAGUCACAUGUAUGUCACAGUGGGGCCGGCCGUGUGCGGUGGCACAUGUGUAAAUAGUAAUACUGAGUGGACGGUGGUCGCUUUAACCUGCUUAUUGUCGCGACUUCAUGUGUCAUCAAAAAUUCAGUCUUUCAGGAAUCGCUGGCACACCUACGUGAUGACAUUGAGGCCGAGGAAGUCAUUAAGAGAAGACGAUGGAGCAAGGCGUGGUCAAUGAGUGGGCAGCGUCAGUGGAGAGCACAGAACCUGAGUAAGUUCCUUCCCAGCACCAGGUUAUUCGACGACAAGCGGGAUUGAGAAAGUGAACUUUAUUCCUCUCUGACAAGUUUGGCCACACGGAAAAUGAUGAAGAUGACUCUGAUGUUAGCCAUAGCACAGACAGUAAAGGCUCAAGAGAGACUCAAGUUCCAGUGAGGACCCAUGUGACAGCCACUCUGACAGUGAUGAGGAGCAAAAACAGUGGAUGGAGAAAACGGCAGUCACUUGGAAGUUGAGAAUGGCAGCGGAAAAUUUACAUUGGUUGGUUACUUGGUUGACUCCCCUCAGAAAAAAGGUGCUGUGCAAGAACGGUAUGUUGGAUUUCACAGAAGUGGUGUCAGAAUAACUUAUUAUGAAAACUCUAGAAGGCUUCUGGAAAAUAUGCACCCUUGAUAAUAUAGGAAAAUAUGUUAAAGGGGGUAGAUUCCCUAGCCCCUCCCCUCGGCUCUUUAAGGUAAAAUUCAGAGGUUCUUCAAGAAAUUUCCACUCAGCCAGAGUUUUCACAAUUUGUUUAGUUGAGAAAGCAGUUACUGGGUACCUACUGUUGUUUGCACUGGGUGAAGAUGGACCUUUUCUGAAUCAGCUGGAUUAGGCUGACAGAAUUACAUGUACAUAAGUCUGUGGCAGAUGACUGAAGCCACUCACUUGUGGCUCUAACUGUCUAGCCUCAGCCACACCCUUUGUAACCCACAACUCUGCUGGGGACAUGCUCAGACAAAAGUACAUUUAUUACAAUGCAUACAGACUUAACUGCUCCCAUUUUGUUACUGUAUUUUUACCAGGUGUUAAAGGUGAUAGCAGCGUGGUUGGUCCCCUGCCCGUAGGGCUCAACUUCUGGUAUCACUGGCCUGAUAGAGUAAGGCGAUAGCAACGUGGUUGGUCCCCUGCCUGUGGGCUCAUCUUCCGGCAUCACUGGCCUGAUAGAGUAAGGUGAUAGCAGCGUAGUUGGUCCCCUGCCCGUAGGGCUCAACUUCUGGCAUCACUGGCCUGAUAGAGUAAGGCGAUAGCAGCGUGGUUGGUCCCCUGCCUGUGGGCUCAUUUUCUGGCA
RNAcentral lists this unclassified non-coding RNA (1313 nucleotides) under Acanthaster planci (crown-of-thorns starfish). Its description in RNAcentral is "uncharacterized LOC110983763, transcript variant X2". The record is from RNAcentral. Lineage: Eukaryota; Metazoa; Echinodermata; Asteroidea; Valvatida; Acanthasteridae.